RNAcentral lists this unclassified non-coding RNA (229 nucleotides) under plant metagenome. RNAcentral's name for it is "partial contains small subunit ribosomal RNA, internal transcribed spacer 1, and 5.8S ribosomal RNA". The record is from RNAcentral.
UCUCCGUAGGUGAACCUGCGGAGGGAUCAUUACAGAGUUCAUGCCCUACCGGGUAGAUCUCCCACCCUAUGUUAUUAUUACUUUGUUGCUUUGGCGGGCCGUUAGGCUCCGGCCCGACUACCGGCCCCGGCUGGUAAGCGCCCGCCAGAGGACCCAAAACCCUGAAUAUUAGUGUCGUCCGAGAACUAUAUAAUAGUUAAAACUUUCAACAACGGAUCUCUUGGUUCUG